Herpailurus yagouaroundi (jaguarundi) is the source of this 1132-nucleotide long non-coding RNA. RefSeq lists it as uncharacterized. The record is from RefSeq and is a predicted model, not a curated record. Lineage: Eukaryota; Metazoa; Chordata; Mammalia; Carnivora; Felidae. The transcript is spliced from 2 exons.
ACCCGCUCCCUUCUUUGGAGGGUGCCUGGUGCACGUGCGGCAGCCAACAGGGCAGAUCGGCUCCCGCCCCUGCCGUCGGGGAGGGGGAGGCGGAGGAGGGCAUCGAGCAAAGGCAGGCUUUGAUGAUCUCUGCUCCUGGAUGUGCGCGGGCGGAGCCCACGGGCAGAACAAGUGCAGCGGGCGUGGAGGGCACCGCCAGGCCAGCCAGCCCCCUGGGUCUCCCUGUUCCCUGAGGCCUGAGACCACGUGGCCGUCCCCAAGGAUGUCCGACUGUUGCCUUAGCUCCUGACGCCAGCCCUGUGCCUAGAUCACGUGCCACCUGUUUGCGGUGACAUUUUCUUCAGCUCCCCGGGGUGACCACCGGGCCACACCUGAGCUGGCUCUUGCCACUCCCUCCCAAUUAAAUGCCGCUUGCUUCGCAUCGGAGCCCCAGCCCGGGGUCUGACGGUGAUGACGGCAGCGAGGACACCACGCCACUUACUCCUGUACGUACGUUGCUUCUCUUUGCUUAUGAGAAAACAGGAGCCAGAAAGAAAGGGACAGGAUUGUGAGGAAUCCCUGUGUAUCCAUCACCCAAGUCACGGCCCAUCUUGUUCGCUCGGUUCCGCCCGCUUUCGCUGGCGUUCAUUUGUUUGCUGGAGAAUUUUGAAGCCGAUCCUAGAGGCCGUGACGUUUGGGUCAGAACGAAUCUGGGUCAUUUUGAACUGGUUUGAUAUGUUCGCGUGUAAGACGCAGCCGUCGGGUCACUGUCGCGCCUAGCGCGUGUUAACUUCAUGACCUGUACCGGAUGGUCUUUAACCAGCUUGGUUUGUCCAAUCGGCGCCCCCUGAGGCCUGCAUAUUCGCUCAUCGGUUGUCUCCUUGGACCCCUCCAUUCCUUUCCCUCCCCCACUUAGAGACCCCUGGCCGUCUGCCCCGUAGAAUGCUCUGUCUUCCGGACUGCGAUGAAUGCCGCCUUAUGAUGUCAGGUGACUUAUUCCUCCCUGUUCCAUAUUUUCCGUAAGCUGUUAUUCAAGCAGAGGUGUGUGAAGGCUGGAGAACCACCGGGGACAGACCUCCUGGAGGAAGAGGAAUUUUAUCACUGACGUCGCUCGGGGCGGCCGGUGCCCGGUGAUAAUAAAAAGCAAACUGAC